CCGUUGGCUGGUGCAUUGCAGCCGUGAGCUGAGGCUAAACCCCAGCUCAGGAAACAGGGUGAAUGACUGCCGCAAGCGUGAGAACAACC
RNAcentral lists this small nucleolar RNA (89 nucleotides) under Sorex araneus (European shrew). RNAcentral's name for it is "Small nucleolar RNA SNORA65 (ENSSARG00000019412.1)". The record is from RNAcentral. Lineage: Eukaryota; Metazoa; Chordata; Mammalia; Eulipotyphla; Soricidae.